UUAAGGGUGCAGGGCGGAUGCCUUGGCACUAGGAGCCGAUGAAGGACGUGAUAAGCUGCGAUAAGCUUCGGGGAGUUGCACGUAAACUUUGAUCCGAAGAUUUCCGAAUGAGGAAACUCACUUAGAGUAAUGUCUAAGUAUCAUUAAGUGAAUACAUAGCUUAAUGAGGGGAACUCAGGGAACUGAAACAUCUAAGUACCUGAAGGAAGAGAAAGAAAUUCGAUUCCGUAAGUAGCGGCGAGCGAACGCGGAUUAGCCCAAACCAAUAAAGUUUUCUUUAUUGGGGUUGCGGACAUAUCAUAACGAAGAGGUAUCGUAAUUGAAGAGGUUUGGAAAGACCCACCACAGAAGGUAAUAGUCCUGUAUGUUAAACGAGAAGACUUUAGAUAUGAUCCAGAGUACCACGGGACACGUGAAACCCUGUGGGAAGCAGGAGGGACCACCCUCCAAGGCUAAAUACUACCUAGUGACCGAUAGCGUAUAGUACCGUGAGGGAAAGGUGAAAAGAACCCCGGGAGGGGAGUGAAAUAGAACCUGAAACCCUGCACUUACAAGCUGUGGAAGCACAUUUCUUGUGUGACCGCGUACUUUUUGUAGAACGGGCCAACGAGUUACGUUAAGUAGCAAGGUUAAGCACUUAAGGUGUGGAGCCGUAGCGAAAGCGAGUUUUAACUGAGCGUUCAGUUACUUGACGUAGACCCGAAACCGGGCGACCUACCCAUGAGCAGGAUGAAGCGAAAGUAAAAUUUCGUGGAGGUCCGAACCCACGAGCGUUGAAAAGCUCGGGGAUGACUUGUGGGUAGCGGUGAAAUUCCAAUCGAGCCCGGAGAUAGCUGGUUCUCCCCGAAAUAGCUUUAGGGCUAGCCUCAAGGUGAGAGAUACGGAGGUAGAGCACUGAAUGUCCUAGGGGGUAUUGCACCUACCGAAGACUAUCAAACUCCGAAUGCCGUCAUCUUAUACUUGGGAGUCAGACUGUGGGUGAUAAGAUUCAUAGUCGAAAGGGCAACAGCCCAGAUCGUCAGCUAAGGUCCCUAAAUGUAAGUUAAGUGGUAAAGGAUGUGGGAUUGCACAGACAACCAGGAUGUUGGCUUAGAAGCAGCCACUCAUUCAAAGAGUGCGUAAUAGCUCACUGGUCGAGUGAUCCUGCGCCGAAGAUUUCCGGGGCUAAAACUUACUACCGAAGCUACGGCAUCAGUAAUGAUGGGUAGGGGAGCUUCCCAUACGGGUUGAAGCAUGACCGUAAGGACAUGUGGACAGUAUGGGAGUGAGAAUGUUGGCAUGAGUAGCGAGAUGUGGGUGAGAAUCCCACAGGCCGUAAACCCAAGGUUUCCAGGGGAAGGUUCGUCCGCCCUGGGUUAGUCGGGACCUAAGCUGAGGCCGAAAGGCGUAGGUGAUGGACAACAGGUUGAUAUUCCUGUACUACCGAUAACCGUUUGAGAGAAGGGAUGACACAGUAGGAUAAGCUAAGCACACUGUUGGUUAUGUGUGCCCAAGCAUUGAGGCAGUCAAAGUAGGCAAAUCCGCUUUGAUAAUGCUGGGAUGUGAUGGGGAGCGAAAUUUAGUAGCGAAGUAGCUGAUUUCACACUGUCAAGAAAAGUCUCUAUCGAGGUUAAAGGUACCCGUACCGCAAACCGACACAGGUGGGUGAGGAGAGUAUCCUAAGGCCAGCGAGAGAACUGUUGUUAAGGAACUCGGCAAAAUGACCCCGUAACUUAGGGAUAAGGGGUGCCACCAUCAGGUGGCCGCAGAGAAUAGGCCCAAGCGACUGUUUACCAAAAACAUAGGUUUCUGCUAAGUCGCAAGACGAUGUAUAGGAGCUGACGCCUGCCCGGUGCUGGAAGGUUAAGGGGAUCUGUUAGAGCAAUCGAAGCAGUGAACUUAAGCCCCAGUAAACGGCGGCCGUAACUAUAACGGUCCUAAGGUAGCGAAAUUCCUUGUCGGGUAAGUUCCGACCCGCACGAAAGGCGUAACGAUUUGGGCACUGUCUCAACAACAGACUCGGUGAAAUUGUAAUUCCGGUGAAGAUGCCGGAUACCUGCGACAGGACGGAAAGACCCCAUGGAGCUUUACUGUAGCUUGACAUUGGGUCUUGGUACUACAUGUACAGGAUAGGUGGGAGGCUUUGAAACCAGGACGCCAGUUUUGGCGGAGCCAUCCUUGGGAUACCACCCUUGUAGUACUGGGACUCUAACCAUAGGCCAUGAAUCUGGUCUUGGGACACUGUCAGGUGGGCAGUUUGACUGGGGCGGUCGCCUCCCAAAAGGUAACGGAGGCGCUCAAAGGUUCUCUCAGUACGGUCGGAAAUCGUACGUAGAGUGUAAAGGCAAAAGAGAGCUUGAUUGCAAGACAUACAGGUCGAGCAAGGAUGAAAAUCGGACUUAGUGAUCCGGUGGUUCUGCGUGGAAGGGCCAUCGCUCAACGGAUAAAAGCUACCCUGGGGAUAACAGGCUUAUCUCCCCCAAGAGUCCACAUCGACGGGGAGGUUUGGCACCUCGAUGUCGGCUCAUCACAUCCUGGGGCUGUAGUAGGUCCCAAGGGUUGGGCUGUUCGCCCAUUAAAGUGGUACGCGAGCUGGGUUCAGAACGUCGUGAGACAGUUCGGUCCCUAUCCGUCGCAGGCGUAGGAAAUUUGAGAAGACCUGUCCUUAGUACGAGAGGACCGGGAUGGACGUACCUCUGGUGUACCAGUUGUUCUGCCAAGGGCAUGGCUGGGUAGCUAUGUACGGAAUGGAUAAGCGCUGAAAGCAUCUAAGCGCGAAGCCAACUUCAAGAUAAGAUUUCCCACCGCAAGGGUAAGACCCCAGAAAGACUAUCUGGUUGAUAGGUCGAAGGUGUAAGUGCAGCAAUGUAUUUAGCUUAUCGAUACUAAUAGGUCGAGGACUUGACCAAU
Molecule: ribosomal RNA, 2889 nt
Filed under: Clostridioides difficile
Lineage: Bacteria; Bacillati; Bacillota; Clostridia; Peptostreptococcales; Peptostreptococcaceae
Description: partial 23S ribosomal RNA
Rfam family: Bacterial large subunit ribosomal RNA
Source: RNAcentral